GAUCAGGAGACCCCUCAUUCAAUGCAGGUGGGGCAGAGCCCCACAUCUUUUGCAAUACAUGUAUUUCUUAAGGCAGCUCCCAAAUGCAGGUGAUUCAGCCUAGCUAGUGCUUUCGGUGAAGCGAGCCAGCAAAAUAGGAGCAUUGCGCCGUGAUUGGCUCAGUGUUUUGUCACUCAUGGACACUACGUCAUUGCUAAAUUUAAGCCUUAGUAAGGUUAGACAUCCAAAAUGUCAGCCCUUUGUGUCCUGCUAUAUAGUUAUAUUACAAGUGCUUCCAAGAAGGCUCUGUCAUUGGCCACACAACGUGAUUUUAUCUACAGUAGCUUGAACUGAUCAUGUUAGCUAGCAGUCAUGAAUCAUAUUGACAAUCUACUGGCAAAUCCUUUCAAUUGUCAUAUGAAGAGGCAUCGCAAAUUCAACAAUGAGGAGUUUGGAAGGAAUCCGUGGCUAACUGAAAGCGUUGCAAAGCAACAAAUAGCCUGCUAUUCAAUGGCGUGGCUGUUUUUGAGUUCCCACCAUGGCAUUCUCUGGAUUUAGACUUUGACAAAAUUUGCUGACAAAGGACUGCCACGCCACCUUCAUGUUUAAGUGCGCACAUCAAAAGCCAAGGUGAGUCCAAAAAAUGUAUUGUUUGCUACUACAUAAAUAGUCAUACUUAGCUACAGUAUACAUAAGUGUGUAAACUGUUAGUAGUCUAUUUAUUUUUAUUUAUUUAUUUUAUUUAACCUUUUUUUUUUUUUUUUUUUUAACCAGGUAGGCAAGUUGAGAACAAGUUCUCAUUUACAAUUGCGACCUGGCCAAGAUAAAGCAAAGCAGUUCGACAGAUACAACGACACAGAGUUACACAUGGAGUAAAACAAACAUACAGUCAAUAAUACAGUAUAAACAAGUCUAUAUACAAUGUGAGCAAAUGAGGUGAGAAGGGAGGUAAAGGCAAAAAAGGCCAUGGUGGCAAAGUAAAUACAAUAUAGCAAGUAAAACACUGGAAUGGUAGUUUUGCAAUGGAAGAAUGUG
Oncorhynchus tshawytscha (Chinook salmon) is the source of this 1014-nucleotide long non-coding RNA. The record is from Ensembl. Lineage: Eukaryota; Metazoa; Chordata; Actinopteri; Salmoniformes; Salmonidae.